UAUAAAUAUCAGUAUGAAAUGUCAGUGGCUGCAAGUUCCACGCUCAGCUAAAAUUUUACCGACAUCUUAAAAUUUCCUUAAAACAUCUGGAAGUAAACAAACAAAAAGCACAGCCAGCUGCCAGGUGGCUCAGGCCCACAGGCCCAGCACCCAUUGAGAAUGCCUGGGCAAACCCAGCCCCUCCCCAGCACAGCUCUCACCAGCUGCUUCCCACGGGAGCAAAGCAAAGGGGCUACUUGGCCAUGCCAGUGGUGGGAGGUUAAGGCACAGGUUUUAAUCCCAAAGCUUAGCCAGCCAGAGUACAAGACGUGCUCCCAACAGGCUGCUGCACAGCUUGGGACAGCUCCCAAGCCUGCUUACAGGAGACCUUUGGAUGGACUGGGACUCACUGAGGGAUGUUCAGGAUCCCACACAGACUCUUCUGUGACUCCGGGCUAAUGCAAAGAAGAAUAUAAGAAAACUGAAUCUGAUUCUACUAAAAGGAGCUUUUUCUCACACAUGGAGUCAGGAAUGCAGAGGUGAAGGUUAACAACCAUAGCCAGAGCCUUCUCUGUAACAUUCAUGAGGAUUUAGGAAUUAGAUUAUUCCUAGUCCAGGUGAGGACUCUGUUCACAUCUGAACAGUAUGCACUAGUCUGCCAUACCUGAUGUUCACAGGCGGUUUCAUUUUCCUUUACAGGGAAAAUCUGUGGGAUCUAUGGUCCGGGCCAAGGCUGGAAUCCAAUGGUCUCCUGCUGGCUAACAGGACUUGUGCACAUAUUUGACUAGAAGCCACCAGGAUAAACUCAGAACACCAACAUUUGCCUCUACAAGGAACCACAUCUCCCAGAAGCGUUCCCUUGUUUUUCUGUUUUCCAGUAAUCCCACAUUGAGGAAAUAAGGACAUUGUAAUAAAUUAACUGCUUUGAACACCCAGGAAAGGAGAGAGGACACAUUUUACAGCAAUAGAGGUAUUUUUGACAUUUUCAUUAAUAUUUCCCAUGAAAAAAAAAACAUAGCUCUUCGGCUUUGCAAAACAAGGAAGGUUCAGCUCUGCCAUCAGUGUUUUCCUAUAAAAAUAAGGUUUUAUGUGUACUUGGGUUCUACAACUAAGCUGAAUAGAAAGGAGAGGGCUCUUACAAAUACUUCUGCUGUUGUAUGGCCCCUCCCUCUGGAGACACCUGCCAGAAGCAUUCAGCUGGCUCUGUAAGUCCCUUCUGGCAGACAAGCUGUAGCCCUGCUGAGUCUAGGGCUCCUUUGCAGGACACCUCUGGGACUUGGCAGGACUCCUGAGGAAUGACCUGCUGUCAUGUUCCACUGUAGAUUUUGCAUCAGGUAUGUUUUCUUCAUCAAGCUGAAAAGUGAGUCCUCAAAUGUGUGAGAUUUCUGCCUCUCCAGUGACGGAGAUUGCUCACAGGAGCUGCAGUCUCGCCUCUGCUCCAGCUUCUUACAGGAAGUCUAACUCAAGGGCUUGGUGAAGGGACACGAGGUCAGCGUGAUUUGUGAUCCUCCAGAACGGCAUGUUGUGCUGUGACAAAGAGAGGACAGUCAAGUUUAUCAGGGAUUUUCAGCUGAGGUGGAAGCAGCCAGGGUACACCUGCAGGGCUGUGCAGUGUGGUGGUUCUGAGCACACCACGCUCAGGAUGGAUAUUGGCCACCUGCACAUCUGUAUCUUAUCUGCACAUCUUGUAUGACAGGCACCAGCACUGACUGUCAGCUGCUCACGAUAAAAACCUUGGCUGUGAGCUGCUGCUGAAUCCAGGAAUGCCUGCCCAGGGCUCCCAGGGAACCUGCACAGGUGGCAGCUCUGGCACAUGGUAGAACGUGUGAAGCCUGCAGACAAGGUCCUGACAGUCGUCCGUGCACUUCACUGUUGUUAAUUAGCACAACUGAACAACUCAUCUAGGCCUGUCCAAAUCAAUCAAACUGCUCCUUGUUUGUAAUCCAGACUAAUAGCAGGUGCUGUAAUGAUGUGCUGCUGCCACUGAGCCCUGACUCCUCUGUGCUCCUGAGAAACUGCAUUAUCCUGAUAGCCCCAGGCUAUGAUCAGGACACAGAAUCAUCCAGGGUGGAAGAGACCUCCAAGAUCACUGAGUCCAACCUCUGAACAUGCUACAUCCAAUGUGCUACACCAAGACACUGCUUACAGGGACAUAUGCAAUCGUAAACAGCAGUAAAACAGAAACUUUAAACCCCCAAGAGCCAGAAAACAGCCCAUCUUAACAUGUGGAAGAUCUCUUGCCCCUGGCUGCCCCAGCCUGAAUUGUUCGGCCUUGGAACAAGAGUCCCUGCAGGCAAAGCCUGCUGCAGUGACUUCCCUUUGUAUUGCCCCCCAGCCACCUCUGCAGUCAGACCCACCUGCUUGGCUGCCACCUCCUCGUCGCGCCCGUCCCCGAUCACCACGUAAGUGACCUUCUUCCCAAACCGCGACACGAUCCUCUCGAAGCAGCUCUCUUUACCUGCCAACACAACCCACUGUUGAGGAGCCUUAGGCAGAGAGAAAUCGGAGUCUGAACAGGUCUUUUCCUUCCAGAAACACAUUCUUGUCUUACUGGGAGGGGAUAACACCCAGUUUAGCUCCUGAGCCAGAAGCCAUGACCAGCUGGACCACAGCAUGAAAUGGCACUUCCCAUGUAAAACUCCCUGCUAAUCCCCAGCACAUGCUGCUGUGCCAGAGACUUGGCACAACCCCUUACCUAUUUUUGUAGCACUAUAAAUAUUUUCAAUGGGAAACACUUCGCCCAAUCCAUACAGGAGAACUUUGGCAAGAGCUGGCAUCAGUUGGGUGGUUGUGAUCAGGAUGUUCUCACAGUUUUUUCUAAAAGAAGAAAAACACUUGUUACUGCACAUCUGUAGCCACUGGUGCCACGGCUGCUCCAGGCAGCCUGCUCGGCUUUCCCAAGUGCCACAUGCAUUGCCGUCCUGCUCUCAGGGGGCUUUUUAGGCCAAGGUUUUGUGAUUUUUGCUUGUUUACUUCUGGAAGAAUUCUCUGGUAGAAAAGUGAUUUGGUGAGCAUGGGGACCUUCCUAACUACAGGUGUUGCAGCAAAGAAAUCCUAAAGGGUGCUCAGGGAUGGAGUUCUUGCAGUCAGACACUUUGCCUCUCAGCAGCAGUGCUGCACGUGAACCCAAGGGCUGCGAAAGCCACGCACGCACUUCAAGGUUCCAUACCUGGACUGGAUGAGCAGCAGGGACUUUAAUGCAGUUUCUAGCCAGGAAUCUGUUAGCACUUCUAUAUCAGUCCUCAGUCGCUGGAGAGCUUCCCUCUUCUGUGGGCUAAGCAGGCCUGGAAGGUAAGGAACAUGUGUUUGCCCAGCUGAGCUGGCAAGUCUGACAAGGAGAGAGCUGUCCCCCAAUGCACCAGCUGCCUGCUCUGCAAUAAAUAACACAGAACUGAAGGCCUCUGGAAGCUGGACUGUCUGUCUUGAAGCAGCAAGAGAAACCAGCUUCCAGUGACAUGGAUGAGCCCAGACAUCCAUCCAGGAGUCUGACUGUGGGGAACUGGGCAGAUGCUUUUCUCCGAUUGUUUCAAAGACUUCUCAGGAUACAGGCAAUCAAAUGCACUUCUCUCAUACAAAGCACUCACAGCAGCAGGGGUCCAAGGCCAUAGAGCAGGGGAAAGAACUCCUCCAGUCACCCCCUCUGACAUCAUUCUUCCCAAGGACCCUUUCCACUUUAACCCCUUUUAUGUAUCUUUUUUAAACUGCCCUCCUUUUUUUUUUAUUCCCGUGUUUGUAAUCUCUUUUCGAUAUACUUUUCUCCAAGCCUCCAGUUUUGAAUUAAAAGCAGCCAGAAAUGGAGUCCAUACAGUCAAACUUGCUGCUAUCAGUAAACACAACAAGAAAGGAGCACAUGGAGCCUGCACCUCCCUUCCAGCCGUGACGUUCGAGCUCCCUCAUUCCAGUCCUGUAGUGCACCAGUCCCCUGCACUGAGGCCAUGGAAGAACCCACAGCAGGCUGCACCCACAGCUGCUUUACCAUGGGGCUUUACACAGGUCCUGAAAAACUCUGCAUCCAGGUUUCCCACAUGCAAAAUACAGAAUCAUGGUCUGAUCCCUGCCAGAAAUCAGGUAGCUCCAGCACACUGAACUGCAGACUUACACCGACGGGGCUGAAAGCUGUAGUUUUGAACACCUGUUUUUUAGAACAUUUGUCCAAGAAAAUGAUCUAUCAAGUGUUUUUUUUGUGUAGGCAAAGGGUACCCAAAUCCACAACCCACCAGGCCGAGUCACCCUGCAGGGUGAGCCGCUCCAGCAACAUCCCUUUUCCAGGGACAGCAAUGCCAAGAUUCAGACUAAACAGAAAACUCCUCUCCAUUUGCUCACUGUGGUUUGCAUCAUUAUGACUGCUUUGGAGCUGGAAAGGAAGCAAAACUGAAAGGUUUUAAGUGAUAUUGUGAAAAGAUAGAGAUGUCAUGUCAGACCGUGGACCCAGCAGCCCAGGGGUGACCACUGUGUUUCCUGACAAUGACAUGACAAAAAGCAGACUUUGUGAAGACAUGAAUGACACCUCCUGAGAGGAAGGGCAAGAUCAGUGGAAGUAAAGUACUCACCAGUCCAGAAUGCAAGUACA
This is a long non-coding RNA of Manacus vitellinus (golden-collared manakin), 4549 nucleotides long. RefSeq lists it as uncharacterized. The record is from RefSeq and is a predicted model, not a curated record. The transcript is spliced from 3 exons. NCBI's taxonomy places the organism in Eukaryota, Metazoa, Chordata, Aves, Passeriformes, Pipridae.